Long non-coding RNA from Paramisgurnus dabryanus, 202 nucleotides. RefSeq lists it as uncharacterized. The record is from RefSeq and is a predicted model, not a curated record. NCBI's taxonomy places the organism in Eukaryota, Metazoa, Chordata, Actinopteri, Cypriniformes, Cobitidae.
UUUGUACAAAGGAAGAGCAGAACCUAAUCCAAAUAAAAAUAAACAAGCUGUUAAAAGCCAGUUGAAGGUGGUCAACACAAACCAAAUGAAGAUGUUGCACAUUCCACAAACAAUAAAAAAAGAAGAUCAAGUUUUGUGUCCAACACACUUGGAUGAGACGUGCCCGACCCCUGACUUUGUCUACCCUACAUUAAGUUGUAAG